UUGCACCACUGUAUUAACAUAAAAUUUCUGAAUACCACCUGGAGUUGAAGUAGAGCCAGUAGCAGUCACCACCCUUGCUACUGGGCCCUGACCUAUCUUCCCUUAUAGAAUAGGGAAACUUCAAUCAUUCUUGACUGGACUGUGUUUUGGGAUAGGAUUCUUCUAUUGCUUCUUAGGCAUCCUAACAGGUUCCUGUACCACCGAUGUUUUGUGAGGUACAUAGUGCCAAAUAUGUAUCCCUUGUGGUCUCCGUUGCAUAUUCAUCCAUAGUUUCUGACCCUUAUACUCGCCCCUCGGUUUAGUAUUCUUUUUGUUCAAGUUCUAUGGUACCUACCCUUGCUGAUGAGUAUUAACCCUCUUUGGUUCCUCAAGGCAGACACGACCAAAUUUUACACAUUGUUUGCAAAGCAGAGGCUUCGAAUGAUACCCAAUAUUCUGAGAAAACACUCUGCAUAUUGGAUCUGUGAUGACUAACACCUCUAGUAUAGGUUGUGUGACAUCCAUGUCAACUAAGAUCCAAGCAUAAGAUAUGUGAACCUGCUUCUAGGUGCAUUCAUCCGCAAAAAUUGUUUUCCCUAAUCCACUUACAAUUUUUUUCAAGGUCUUAGCUCCCUAGCAGCUCAAAGGCAAGUCGGGCAAUCUAGACCAAAUAGGCAUUGUACGAGAAAAUUCCUGUUGGAAAUCAAAUGUAGGGGUCCACAUUUUAAGAAUUAAUGGUCUACCGCGCAAAGUGUAUGGGCCUGAAUAUAGGAUCUCAUUUAUCAUGAAUAUUUAAGAAUUUAGCAAUAUUGAAUCUCUCAUCAUGUAGAUAUAAUUCUAAUGUGCUUACUUUAUUCCUAUUCUUAGAUAUGUAGUUACUCGUAACUAUAUAUCUAGGUAACUCACCCAUGGUAUAGAUCAAUACUGCAUUAUUCCAUAUCUUUAUUUGCUCUUAAAUUUCCUCUUCCUCCAACGCAAUUGUAGUUUUCUGUUAAUCACCUGAUGAGGGAAAAAUUAAGAGCCAUACCAUUAGCAGCUAAUCGAUUUCGAGGGAACAAUCCAGCCCAAUUUCAUGUCUAGUCGUUCUCUUUUGCAUUUUCCUGUGGAAUCGGGUCUGGUUCCUGUUUAUUUGGUAUAGAUUCCUUUGGGUUUGGAGCUUGUUACACUGGGCUGACUACCAAUUUUGGAAUCUGCACAAUUCUAUAGGUGUUGGGUCAUUAUCAUUCAACUCUUCUUCAGUAGGUUUUAUUGACAAAAAUGGAGUUUCAUAUGUCACAGCCAUAUCGAAUCAAGCUCCACUGUUUGCCUUCCCUUAUGGUAUAGUCUGCUUCCCUUUCGUUUGAUAUCCAGAUGUCGCCACUGAGUAAGAUGAGUUAUAGGACUCUUGUUCAUUGGAACCCUCAAACUUGUUGUUGCACUUAUCGUUUGGUUACACGAAGUAUUGUUAAUCUCCUUU
This 1435-nucleotide long non-coding RNA is filed under the name Nicotiana benthamiana. RNAcentral describes it as "long non-coding RNA (NBEN_LNC023760)". The record is from RNAcentral. Lineage: Eukaryota; Viridiplantae; Streptophyta; Magnoliopsida; Solanales; Solanaceae.